RNAcentral lists this ribosomal RNA (795 nucleotides) under gamma proteobacterium SCGC AAA076-E13. RNAcentral's name for it is "bacterial SSU rRNA". It matches the Rfam family "Bacterial small subunit ribosomal RNA", at positions 69 to 859 of the family's 1533-position model. Lineage: Bacteria; Pseudomonadati; Pseudomonadota; Gammaproteobacteria. The record is from RNAcentral.
CGAUACUAGCUUGCUAGUAGGCGUCGAGUGGCGGACGGGUGAGUAACGCGUAGGAAUCUGCCUGAUAGUGGGGGAUAGCCCGAAGAAAUUCGGAUUAAUACCGCAUAAUCUAUUCGUAGAAAAGUGGGGGACUUUCGAGCCUCACGCUAUCAGAUGAGCCUGCGUAAGAUUAGCUUGUUGGUAGGGUAAAAGCCUACCAAGGCGACGAUCUUUAGCUGGUCUGAGAGGAUGAUCAGCCACAUCGGGACUGAGACACGGCCCGAACUCCUACGGGAGGCAGCAGUGGGGAAUAUUGGACAAUGGGGGCAACCCUGAUCCAGCAAUACCGCGUGUGUGAAGAAGGCCUGAGGGUUGUAAAGCACUUUCAAUUGUGAAGAAAAGUUAGCGGUUAAUAACCGUUAGCCUUGACGUUAACUUUAGAAGAAGCACCGGCUAACUCCGUGCCAGCAGCCGCGGUAAUACGGAGGGUGCAAGCGUUAAUCGGAAUUACUGGGCGUAAAGCGUGCGUAGGCGGUUUAUUAAGUCAGAUGUGAAAGCCCCGGGCUUAACCUGGGAACUGCAUUUGAAACUGGUCAACUAGAGUAUGGUAGAGGAAAGUGGAAUUUCUGGUGUAGCGGUGAAAUGCGUAGAUAUCAGAAGGAACAUCAAUGGCGAAGGCAGCUUUCUGGACCAAUACUGACGCUGAGGUACGAAAGCGUGGGUAGCAAACAGGAUUAGAUACCCUGGUAGUCCACGCCGUAAACGAUGAUAACUAGCCGUUGGGGGGAUUUACCCUUUAGUGGCGAAGCUAACGCG